Molecule: ribosomal RNA, 253 nt
Filed under: Pluralibacter gergoviae
Lineage: Bacteria; Pseudomonadati; Pseudomonadota; Gammaproteobacteria; Enterobacterales; Enterobacteriaceae
Description: partial 16S ribosomal RNA
Rfam family: Bacterial small subunit ribosomal RNA
Source: RNAcentral
AAAUUGAAGAGUUUGAUCAUGGCUCAGAUUGAACGCUGGCGGCAGGCCUAACACAUGCAAGUCGAACGGUAGCAGAAAGAAGCUUGCUUCUUUGCUGACGAGUGGCGGACGGGUGAGUAAUGUCUGGGAAACUGCCCGAUGGAGGGGGAUAACUACUGGAAACGGUAGCUAAUACCGCAUAACGUCUUCGGACCAAAGAGGGGGACCUUCGGGCCUCUUGCCAUCGGAUGUGCCCAGAUGGGAUUAGCUAGUA